Molecule: ribosomal RNA, 497 nt
Filed under: uncultured bacterium
Lineage: Bacteria
Description: partial 16S ribosomal RNA
Rfam family: Bacterial small subunit ribosomal RNA
Source: RNAcentral
GAUGAACGCUGGCGGCGUGCCUAAUACAUGCAAGUCGAGCGAACAGAUGAGGAGCUUGCUCCUCUGACGUUAGCGGCGGACGGGUGAGUAACACGUGGAUAACCUACCUAUAAGACUGGGAUAACUUCGGGAAACCGGAGCUAAUACCGGAUAAUAUAUUGAACCGCAUGGUUCAAUAGUGAAAGACGGUUUUGCUGUCACUUAUAGAUGGAUCCGCGCCGCAUUAGCUAGUUGGUAAGGUAACGGCUUACCAAGGCGACGAUGCGUAGCCAACCUGAGAGGGUGAUCGGCCACACUGGAACUGAGACACGGUCCAGACUCCUACGGGAGGCAGCAGUAGGGAAUCUUCCGCAAUGGGCGAAAGCCUGACGGAGCAACGCCGCGUGAGUGAUGAAGGUCUUCGGAUCGUAAAACUCUGUUAUUAGGGAAGAACAAAUGUGUAAGUAACUAUGCACGUCUUGACGGUACCUAAUCAGAAAGCCACGGCUAACUACGUG